UCUCCGUAGGUGAACCUGCGGAGGGAUUAUUACUAAGUGAGGGCUCACGCCCGACCUCCAACCCUUUGUAAACGCAACUAGUUACUUCGGGGGGCGACCCUACCGUUCGGCGCGGCGCCCCUAGAGGUCAUCAAAACUCUGCAUCUCUGCGUCGGUGUCAUAAGUUAAUCAAACAAAACUUUCAACAACGGAUCUCUUGGUUCUGGCAUCGAUGAAGAACGCAGC
RNAcentral lists this unclassified non-coding RNA (225 nucleotides) under uncultured fungus. RNAcentral describes it as "sequence contains ITS1, 5.8S rRNA gene". The stretch from base 177 to 225 matches the Rfam family "5.8S ribosomal RNA", at positions 1 to 49 of the family's 154-position model. The record is from RNAcentral. Lineage: Eukaryota; Fungi.